This 368-nucleotide long non-coding RNA is filed under the name Androctonus crassicauda. The record is from RNAcentral. Lineage: Eukaryota; Metazoa; Arthropoda; Arachnida; Scorpiones; Buthidae.
CCAAAAUUUAAUUUUGCAAGAAAGUUAUAACAAAAUGGAUAUUCAAAAUGUUAAUAGAUAUGUUAGUGUACCCUACAGCAGGAUGAAGAUUGAAGUAAUUAAUAAUAUAAAAAAGAAUUUGAAUGUCAAAUUAACACUUGAGAGAUGGUACUAUUUUUAAUAGUCCUAGGAAUGGAAAAAGCAGUACAAUUAUGCCCAACAUCCCAGAGACUCUUCCUCCUCCCUGCCAUCAUUCCUAUAUACAAUAGAAUUGCUGGCAGGGAGGAGGAAGAGUAUGUUGGGAUUACCAUUAGAAAUUUAAGAGAGAGGCUGAGGGAGCAUUCACAUUACAUUAAAAAUGAGUCUUUUUUUACAACCUUAAAUAAACA